AAUCUGUGGUGUGGGCACCUCCACAAAAGAUCCUUGAAGCACUCCCAUGUCUCAAACAAUAAAUCCAAUUCCAUCUGUACAAAUGAUGAUAUCUCAUUGUGAAGCUU
Dioscorea cayenensis subsp. rotundata (Guinea yam) is the source of this 107-nucleotide small nucleolar RNA. Lineage: Eukaryota; Viridiplantae; Streptophyta; Magnoliopsida; Dioscoreales; Dioscoreaceae. The record is from RefSeq and is a predicted model, not a curated record.